RNAcentral lists this ribosomal RNA (253 nucleotides) under uncultured bacterium. RNAcentral describes it as "partial 16S ribosomal RNA". It matches the Rfam family "Bacterial small subunit ribosomal RNA", at positions 524 to 776 of the family's 1533-position model. The record is from RNAcentral.
UACGUAGGGGGCAAGCGUUGUCCGGAUUUAUUGGGCGUAAAGAGCGUGUAGGCGGCCAUGCAGGUCCGUUGUGAAAACUCGAGGCUCAACCUCGAGACGUCGGCGGAAACCAUCUGGCUAGAGUCCGGAAGAGGAGAGUGGAAUUCCUGGUGUAGCGGUGAAAUGCGCAGAUAUCAGGAAGAACACCCGUGGCGAAGGCGGCUCUCUGGGACGGUACUGACGCUGAGACGCGAAAGCGUGGGGAGCGAACAGG